RNAcentral lists this ribosomal RNA (502 nucleotides) under uncultured Bradyrhizobium sp. Its description in RNAcentral is "bacterial SSU rRNA". It matches the Rfam family "Bacterial small subunit ribosomal RNA", at positions 1000 to 1503 of the family's 1533-position model. Lineage: Bacteria; Pseudomonadati; Pseudomonadota; Alphaproteobacteria; Hyphomicrobiales; Nitrobacteraceae. The record is from RNAcentral.
GCAGAGAUGUGACCUUCUCUUCGGAGCCCGGAACACAGGUGCUGCAUGGCUGUCGUCAGCUCGUGUCGUGAGAUGUUGGGUUAAGUCCCGCAACGAGCGCAACCCCCGUCCUUAGUUGCUACCAUUUAGUUGAGCACUCUAAGGAGACUGCCGGUGAUAAGCCGCGAGGAAGGUGGGGAUGACGUCAAGUCCUCAUGGCCCUUACGGGCUGGGCUACACACGUGCUACAAUGGCGGUGACAAUGGGAUGCUAAGGGGCAACCCCUCGCAAAUCUCAAAAAGCCGUCUCAGUUCGGAUUGGGCUCUGCAACUCGAGCCCAUGAAGUUGGAAUCGCUAGUAAUCGUGGAUCAGCAUGCCACGGUGAAUACGUUCCCGGGCCUUGUACACACCGCCCGUCACACCAUGGGAGUUGGUUUUACCUGAAGACGGUGCGCUAACCGAAAGGGGGCAGCCGGCCACGGUAGGGUCAGCGACUGGGGUGAAGUCGUAACAAGGUAACCGU